CUCUUUCUCUCAAAACCCUCGACUGCACCAUGACAACUGACCCGACCCGAUCCGGCCUCACUCCGGCGGUAGCUGUUCUCCGACGACACCAGCAUUCAGCGACACGGCCCGACCUCUCUCCGGCGAUUGUAUUUCUCCAGAGGUAGCUGUUCUCCGGUGAUUGUAUUUAUUCAUCUGUUAUUUAAGCUUUUCUGACACUUUGGCACCCACGGACUUGAGUUGAAAUAUGUUGCGUGGAACAAUUCCUUCAAUUCUUGGGAACUUGACCUACACAGAGAAAUUGUUAGUAUUGAAACAUUUAAAUUCAGAAUCUUGCGAUUUAUUCCACCAUCUGUGAUAUAUUUGUUACUUGAACCCUGAUAUGGGUUUGCUUUCUGCAAGGUAGUGUCAUUUAAGUAGCAUCUAGUGUGAUUGGUUGGUUUAAAUUGUUACUGGUUUCGCAAAAGCUGUUAACUUAGAGGUAGUGCUUAUUGUUAUCUUACGUUGGUGUAGUUGG
This 496-nucleotide long non-coding RNA is filed under the name Capsicum annuum. RNAcentral describes it as "long non-coding RNA (CANN_LNC011480)". Lineage: Eukaryota; Viridiplantae; Streptophyta; Magnoliopsida; Solanales; Solanaceae. The record is from RNAcentral.